This 642-nucleotide unclassified non-coding RNA is filed under the name uncultured Leifsonia sp. RNAcentral describes it as "partial contains 16S-23S ribosomal RNA intergenic spacer and 23S ribosomal RNA". The stretch from base 481 to 642 matches the Rfam family "Bacterial large subunit ribosomal RNA", at positions 1 to 155 of the family's 2925-position model. Lineage: Bacteria; Bacillati; Actinomycetota; Actinomycetes; Micrococcales; Microbacteriaceae. The record is from RNAcentral.
AAGGAGCAUCUGGCACCCUGUGUUGUUUUCAACGCAGAGAUUGUCCAGGCGCCGGAUCUGAGACAGUACUUAUCACAUCGGUACGACUGGGUCUCAGCCGGUCAGCUCAUGGGUGGAACAUUGACAUUGGUGCGGAGCCGAACGGCUCGAACUUAGUACGCCUGCUUGCAGGAAGGAACAGUUCGGACCGGGGAGCCUCGCACAUGCACGCUGUUGGGUCCUGAGGGACCGGACCUCAUCGCUGUGUCUUCAAGACGCUGAGAUGAGAACCGAAUCCUCUGGACCUUUUUUGGUCGGCCAUAACUGGGCCGGCGGAAAAGGUACCGCCCGUACUUUGAGAACUACACAGUGGACGCGAGCAUCUUAGAUUCGGACCUUCGGGUUCGGAUCACAAAAGAUGAUCAUAGUACUUUCGAGUACUGAUUAGAUCAUUGGUCAAUCUGCUCACUUCGGUGAGCCGAUCGAUUCAAACUCAUGUGAUUUCAAGUUUCUAAGAGCAAACGGUGGAUGCCUUGGCAUCUGGAGCCGAAGAAGGACGUAGUAAUCUGCGAUAAGCCUCGGGGAGUUGAUAAACGGACUUUGAUCCGAGGAUUUCCGAAUGGGGAAACCCCGCUGGGCCCUUUGGGUGACCCAGUGACUCCC